This 253-nucleotide ribosomal RNA is filed under the name uncultured bacterium. Its description in RNAcentral is "partial 16S ribosomal RNA". It matches the Rfam family "Bacterial small subunit ribosomal RNA", at positions 524 to 776 of the family's 1533-position model. The record is from RNAcentral.
UACGGAGGGGACUAGCGUUGUUCGGAAUUACUGGGCGUAAAGCGCACGUAGGCGGAUUUGUUAGUCAGGGGUGAAAUCCCGAGGCUCAACCUCGGAACUGCCUUUGAUACUGCAAAUCUCGAGUCCGGAAGAGGUGAGUGGAAUUCCUAGUGUAGAGGUGAAAUUCGUAGAUAUUAGGAAGAACACCGGUGGCGAAGGCGGGUCUCUGGGCCGAUACUGACGCUGAGGAGCGAAAGCAUGGGUAGCGAACAGG